GAUGAACGCUAGCUACAGGCUUAACACAUGCAAGUCGAGGGGAAACGAUAUUGGAAGCUUGCUUCCGAUAGGCGUCGACCGGCGCACGGGUGAGUAACGCGUAUCCAACCUGCCCAUCACUUGGGGAUAACCUUGCGAAAGUAAGACUAAUACCCAAUGACGUCUCUAGAAGACAUCUGAAGGAGAUUAAAGAUUUAUCGGUGAUGGAUGGGGAUGCGUCUGAUUAGCUUGUUGGCGGGGUAACGGCCCACCAAGGCGACGAUCAGUAGGGGUUCUGAGAGGAAGGUCCCCCACAUUGGAACUGAGACACGGUCCAAACGCCUACGGGAGGCAGCAGUGAGGAAUAUUGGUCAAUGGACGAGAGUCUGCACCAGCCAAGUAGCGUGCAGGAUGACGGCCCUAUGGGUUGUAAACUGCUUUUAUAAGGGAAUAAAGUGAGUCUCGUGAGACUUUUUGCAUGUACCUUAUGAAUAAGGACCGGCUAAUUCCGUGCCAGCCGCCGCCGUAA
This 508-nucleotide ribosomal RNA is filed under the name uncultured bacterium. RNAcentral's name for it is "partial 16S ribosomal RNA". It matches the Rfam family "Bacterial small subunit ribosomal RNA", at positions 28 to 523 of the family's 1533-position model. The record is from RNAcentral.